UCAGACCUGUGCUCUGCCGAUAUGUUUGAGGUUCGCAGCCAAGGGGAGAGGAGGAUCUGGAGAUUUUUCAUUUUCCCCCUGCCCCUGCCCCGCCACCCUCAGAGCCUCCCUUGUUACCCGCAUUCCCCACCAGAGUGGCCCAGUUGUUCCAGCCGAGGAACAUACGUGACGCAUCAUUAUCACCCAGAGGCCAGAGUUCACGCUAAGGUUCACUCUUGGUGUUGCGCAUUCUUUGGGUUUGAAAAACACGUUACGACACGGAUCCACGAUUAAAGUAUCAGACAGCAUCGUUUCAUGGCCCUGAAAAUCCUCUGCGCUCCACACAUUCAUACCUCCCUCCCUCCUCACCCUUGGCCAUUGCUGAUUUUUUUUCUUUUUUACUGUCUCCAUUUUGCUGCCCUUUCCAGAGCGUGAUAUAGUUGGAAUCAUACAGUAUGUAGCCUUUUUAGACUGACUUCUUUGUCUUAGUAGAAUGCAUUUAAGGUUCCUGCCUGUCCUUUCGCCAGUUGAUAGCUCAUUGCUCUUUAGCACUGAUGAUAUCCAUUUGCCUGGAUGGACCACAAUGUAUUCAGUCACUUAGCUGCUGCAGGACAUCUUGGCCGCUUCCGCGUUUGGGCAUAGAGGAGUAAAGCUGCCGUAGGGGCACCUGGGUGGCUCAGUCGGUUAAGCGUCUGACUCUUGGU
Herpailurus yagouaroundi (jaguarundi) is the source of this 683-nucleotide long non-coding RNA. RefSeq lists it as uncharacterized. NCBI's taxonomy places the organism in Eukaryota, Metazoa, Chordata, Mammalia, Carnivora, Felidae. The transcript is spliced from 4 exons. The record is from RefSeq and is a predicted model, not a curated record.